Molecule: RNA transcript, 1386 nt
Organism: Ooceraea biroi (clonal raider ant)
Lineage: Eukaryota; Metazoa; Arthropoda; Insecta; Hymenoptera; Formicidae
Source: RefSeq, a predicted model, not a curated record
AAAACAAGAGCGAGUAAUAAGAAAACUGUAUGUAUUUUAUUAUAUGAACACAUUAUAUUAUGUAGUUCUUUUUCUUAUUUAUUGAUAAAAAGAAUUUCUUUUUCUUUCAAGAAAAACGCUAGGAAGGAGCAACAGCAGCGACUUGGCAUCGGCCGUUCACCGUCCGACGACAUUCCGACCAAAAAGCUGAGGAGUCCAUUCGCAGCUAUGAAGAUAAGUCAAAUGUGUAAGACACCCGAGAUCCAAUUGGACACGAUAACGUAUUUUAAUUCCGGCCAAAUGCCGGGUAAAAGUAUAUUAAAGAAAUCGGAGGACCUAAGUAAGGAAGCUCGUAUCAAAUCUGCACACAAGGUCAAUUUUGAUGAUACGAUAGUUCGAAGAAGGGAGGUUCCUCUUGAUGAGGAAGCGCAGACUAAAUUAAGCCUAGCCGCUGCGUUAAGCAGAAUAGAGAAUCUCGAGUUGGGCGAAUUAAGCGUGGAAGAGAGUUUUAACGCUGAGAAAAGGUUGAACUUCGAAGCUGAAGAUUCUGACAAUUCCAUGAAUUCCAAUAGUUUUGAUGAAUUUGCGGCCGAGGUAUCGAUGCAGAUCGAGAAGCGACAAUCCAAAUCAUCUGUUCAGAAUGCUUUAAAUCUUAAUGUACACUCGCGUAACGACGUAACACUAUCUUGUAAGAAAACGGCGACGGACGAUGGAGAGAUUGUAACGUCUAGGAAACGUUCAACGCACUCGACGUGUCGAUACAUCGACGAGGAAGUAGAAUAAUAAAUUAAUUAAAGAUUUUAUAAUGUAAAUGUGUUGCCUGCAACGCCGUCAAAAACUAAUGUCGGAACUCCCGUUAACUCGGGGAUAAUCUCAAAUGCAGAAUUGGAACGAGAUAACGAGUCGGAAAUAAAAGUACUUAGAAAUAGAAUCAUCAAGACAAACGAUAGCGUGAAGAUUAACAGGACAAGCAAAUUGAUGACACCGAGAAAAGGAAGCGUUAGUAAAAAGAAAAAUAAGAGUCCUGUGAAGACAAGUAAAAAGAGUUCACUGAAAUUGUUACAGGAUGACUAAAAUACAAUGAAAAAUACAAUAUAUGAUGUUGACAAGAGGAGAAGAUCACCCCGAAAGUCUGAAACAUGCUUAGUGUGUUCCGAAAACAAACCCGUGCUACCUAUGACUCCGCAUGCCAUACGUCGAAGCAAGACUCCUUCAAGACUAAGUCGAGGCAAACGUACAUUUGAUGGCGAUCUUAUCUCAUUGGAUACACCAGAACCUCGUAAGUUCUAUCAGUACAAAUGUACAAAGAGGCAUAACGAUCAAAGAGGAGAGAGAGAUAUCGUAUUAAUUAAACACUUUUUCUUUCAGCGCCAAGGGAUCACGAAAUCUCAUAUGAAAAAUAACUAA